UACGUAGGGUCCAAGCGUUAUCCGGAUUUAUUGGGCGUAAAGCACAUGUAGGUGGUUUGAUAAGUCUUGUCUUAAAGCUCCGGGCUUAACUCGGAAACUGGACGAGAUACUGUCAGGCUUGUGGUCAGCAGGGGUAAAUGGAAUUCCUGGUGUAGGAGUGAAAUGCGUAGAUAUGUGGAGGAACACCGAUGGCGAAGGCAGCCCCCUGGGUCAAGACUGACGCUCAUGCACGAAAGCGUGGGGAGCAAACAGG
Molecule: ribosomal RNA, 253 nt
Filed under: uncultured bacterium
Lineage: Bacteria
Description: partial 16S ribosomal RNA
Rfam family: Bacterial small subunit ribosomal RNA
Source: RNAcentral